CAUAGACACACAAAUCCACGCGCCAUGGGCCUGAAAGCGCGAUUUCCUGCAAUAACCGUCCUUUCCCGGCUCCGACAUCGAGUCGCAGACCUCACAGAAACUGCGCCCCAAUGGAACUUCUUCCAGCUCAUUCUGCUCGUCCAGCUGCUCAUUUUCCUGGAUCUCGGAGUGCUCUUCAAGACCAUUUCUGAGCCACAGGUGAGACUGCUUUUGAGGUGAAAGGAAAUGAGUGAGAGACAAAGACGGCAUGAUAGAAACUACCUGGUGUUUGGCCCACAUUUCAGCCGUUCUAACGGCUUCUUAACCACUGAUCUGACAUGCAUUGCCUGGACUUGGAAGGAAGAGAGGGACACAUCUACAGUCCCAUGUAUAUACUGUAUUAAUGAUAUUUAUUUGAUUCAAUGA
This 405-nucleotide unclassified non-coding RNA is filed under the name Yarrowia lipolytica. Lineage: Eukaryota; Fungi; Ascomycota; Dipodascomycetes; Dipodascales. The record is from RNAcentral.